GACGAACGCUGUCGGCGUGCUUAACACAUGCAAGUCGAACGGAAAGGCCCUGCUUUUGUGGGGUGCUCGAGUGGCGAACGGGUGAGUAACACGUGAGUAACCUGCCCUUGACUUUGGGAUAACUUCAGGAAACUGGGGCUAAUACCGGAUAGGAGCUCCUGCUGCAUGGUGGGGGAUGGAAAGUUUCGGCGGUUGGGGAUGGACUCGCGGCUUAUCAGCUUGUUGGUGGGGUAGUGGCUUACCAAGGCUUUGACGGGUAGCCGGCCUGAGAGGGUGACCGGCCACAUUGGGACUGAGAUACGGCCCAGACUCCUACGGGAGGCAGCAGUGGGGAAUAUUGCACAAUGGGCGGAAGCCUGAUGCAGCAACGCCGCGUGCGGGAUGACGGCCUUCGGGUUGUAAACCGCUUUCGCCUGUGACGAAGCGUGAGUGACGGUAAUGGGUAAAGAAGCACCGGCUAACUACGUGCCAGCAGCCGCGGUGAUACGUAGGGUGCGAGCGUUGUCCGGAUUUAUUGGGCGUAAAGGGCUCGUAGGUGGUUGAUCGCGUCGGAAGUGUAAUCUUGGGGCUUAACCCUGAGCGUGCUUUCGAUACGGGUUGACUUGAGGAAGGUAGGGGAGAAUGGAAUUCCUGGUGGAGCGGUGGAAUGCGCAGAUAUCAGGAGGAACACCAGUGGCGAAGGCGGUUCUCUGGGCCUUUCCUGACGCUGAGGAGCGAAAGCGUGGGGAGCGAACAGGCUUAGAUACCCUGGUAGUCCACGCUGUAAACGGUGGGUACUAGGUGUGGGGUCCAUUCCACGGGUUCCGUGCCGUAGCUAACGCUUUAAGUACCCCGCCUGGGGAGUACGGCCGCAAGGCUAAAACUCAAAGGAAUUGACGGGGCCCCGCACAAGCGGCGGAGCAUGCGGAUUAAUUCGAUGCAACGCGUAGAACCUUACCUGGGUUUGACAUGGAUCGGGAGUGCUCAGAGAUGGGUGUGCCUCUUUUGGGGUCGGUUCACAGGUGGUGCAUGCCUGUCGUCAGCUCGUGUCGUGAGAUGUUGGGUUAAGUCCCGCAACGAGCGCAACCCUUGUUCACUGUUGCCAGCACGUUAUGGUGGGGACUCAGUGGAGACCGCCGGGGUCAACUCGGAGGAAGGUGGGGAUGACGUCAAGUCCUCAUGCCCCUUAUGUCCAGGGCUUCACGCAUGCUACAAUGGCUGGUACAGAGAGUGGCGAGCCUGUGAGGGUGAGCGAAUCUCGGAAAGCCGGUCUCAGUUCGGAUUGGGGUCUGCAACUCGACCUCAUGAAGUCGGAGUCGCUAGUAAUCGCAGAUCAGCAACGCUGCGGUGAAUACGUUCCCGGGGCU
RNAcentral lists this ribosomal RNA (1346 nucleotides) under uncultured bacterium. RNAcentral's name for it is "bacterial SSU rRNA". It matches the Rfam family "Bacterial small subunit ribosomal RNA", at positions 28 to 1381 of the family's 1533-position model. The record is from RNAcentral.